RNAcentral lists this ribosomal RNA (703 nucleotides) under Rhodococcus sp. L1924. Its description in RNAcentral is "bacterial SSU rRNA". It matches the Rfam family "Bacterial small subunit ribosomal RNA", at positions 24 to 744 of the family's 1533-position model. The record is from RNAcentral. Lineage: Bacteria; Bacillati; Actinomycetota; Actinomycetes; Mycobacteriales; Nocardiaceae.
UCAGGACGAACGCUGGCGGCGUGCUUAACACAUGCAAGUCGAGCGGUAAGGCCUUUCGGGGUACACGAGCGGCGAACGGGUGAGUAACACGUGGGUGAUCUGCCCUGCACUUCGGGAUAAGCCUGGGAAACUGGGUCUAAUACCGGAUAUGACCUCCUAUCGCAUGGUGGGUGGUGGAAAGAUUUAUCGGUGCAGGAUGGGCCCGCGGCCUAUCAGCUUGUUGGUGGGGUAAUGGCCUACCAAGGCGACGACGGGUAGCCGACCUGAGAGGGUGACCGGCCACACUGGGACUGAGACACGGCCCAGACUCCUACGGGAGGCAGCAGUGGGGAAUAUUGCACAAUGGGCGAAAGCCUGAUGCAGCGACGCCGCGUGAGGGAUGACGGCCUUCGGGUUGUAAACCUCUUUCAGCAGGGACGAAGCGCAAGUGACGGUACCUGCAGAAGAAGCACCGGCUAACUACGUGCCAGCAGCCGCGGUAAUACGUAGGGUGCAAGCGUUGUCCGGAAUUACUGGGCGUAAAGAGUUCGUAGGCGGUUUGUCGCGUCGUUUGUGAAAACCAGCAGCUCAACUGCUGGCUUGCAGGCGAUACGGGCAGACUUGAGUACUGCAGGGGAGACUGGAAUUCCUGGUGUAGCGGUGAAAUGCGCAGAUAUCAGGAGGAACACCGGUGGCGAAGGCGGGUCUCUGGGCAGUAACUGAC